GGACGAAAGUCUGACGGAGCAACGCCGCGUGAGUGAUGAAGGUUUUCGGAUCGUAAAGCUCUGUUGUUAGGGAAGAACAAGUGCGAGAGUAACUGCUCGCACCUUGACGGUACCUAACCAGAAAGCCACGGCUAACUACGUGCCAGCAGCCGCGGUAAUACGUAGGUGGCAAGCGUUGUCCGGAAUUAUUGGGCGUAAAGGGCUCGCAGGCGGUUUCUUAAGUCUGAUGUGAAAGCCCCCGGCUCAACCGGGGAGGGUCAUUGGAAACUGGGAAACUUGAGUGCAGAAGAGGAGAGUGGAAUUCCACGUGUAGCGGUGAAAUGCAUAGAGAUGUGGAGGAACACCAGUGGCGAAGGCGACUCUCUGGUCUGUAACUGACGCUGAGGAGCGAAAGCGUGGGGAGCGAACAGGAUUAGAUACCCUGGUAGUCCACGCCGUAAACGAUGAGUGCUAAGUGUUAGGGGGUUUCCGCCCCUUAGUGCUGCAGCUAACGCAUUAAGCACUCCGCCUGGGGAGUACGGUCGCAGGACUGAAACU
Molecule: ribosomal RNA, 537 nt
Filed under: uncultured bacterium
Lineage: Bacteria
Description: bacterial SSU rRNA
Rfam family: Bacterial small subunit ribosomal RNA
Source: RNAcentral